RNAcentral lists this long non-coding RNA (319 nucleotides) under Astyanax mexicanus (Mexican tetra). Its description in RNAcentral is "lncRNA (ENSAMXG00005012940.1)". The record is from RNAcentral. Lineage: Eukaryota; Metazoa; Chordata; Actinopteri; Characiformes; Acestrorhamphidae.
CUGCUACUUUGGUUCGGACCAAACUGAAAAGUCCGAAAGUCCGGACCAAACGAGGGAGCUGAAAAAAUAUGAAACUUCAGCAAUUAUGAAGCCAAAAUUAUAAAUCAGAAAGGCAGAAAAGAAAAGAUGGGGGAGCCCCUGCCGGUCCCAGCUGGUCUGAAUCAGCACUGAUUGAGCAGCUGCUUCAGCCUCAGCCCUUACUGGAGAGAGACGCUACAGGUCCUGAUGACGGCUUUAUCUUCUCACUGAUUUCAUGAGAAGAAGAAGAAGAAGAAGAAGGAGGAGCUGUUAAUUAGUGGAAUAAAUAUCUGAGGUAAAG